CACGUAGGGCGCGAGCGUUGUCCGGAAUUAUUGGGCGUAAAGAGCUCGUAGGCGGCCUGUUGCGUCCGCUGUGAAAGCCCGGGGCUUAACCCCGGGUCGGCAGUGGAUACGGGCAGGCUAGAGGUAGGUAGGGGAGAAUGGAAUUCCCGGUGUAGCGGUGAAAUGCGCAGAUAUCGGGAGGAACACCGGUGGCGAAGGCGGUUCUCUGGGACGGUACUGACGCUGAGACGCGAAAGCGUGGGGAGCAAACGGG
This 253-nucleotide ribosomal RNA is filed under the name uncultured bacterium. Its description in RNAcentral is "partial 16S ribosomal RNA". It matches the Rfam family "Bacterial small subunit ribosomal RNA", at positions 524 to 776 of the family's 1533-position model. The record is from RNAcentral.